This is a small nuclear RNA of Sciurus vulgaris (Eurasian red squirrel), 189 nucleotides long. Its record names the gene U2. It matches the Rfam family "U2 spliceosomal RNA". From Rfam's summary of the family: U2 is a small nuclear RNA (snRNA) component of the spliceosome (involved in pre-mRNA splicing). Complementary binding between U2 snRNA (in an area lying towards the 5' end but 3' to hairpin I) and the branchpoint sequence (BPS) of the intron results the bulging out of an unpaired adenosine, on the BPS, which initiates a nucleophilic attack at the intronic 5' splice site, thus starting the first of two transesterification reactions that mediate splicing. NCBI's taxonomy places the organism in Eukaryota, Metazoa, Chordata, Mammalia, Rodentia, Sciuridae. The record is from Ensembl.
AUUGCUUCUUGGCCUUUUGGCUAAGAACAAAUGUAUUAUCUGUUCUUAUCAGUUUAAUAUGUGAUAUGUCCUGUCAGAGGACAAUAUAUUAAAUGGAUUUUUGGAAAUAGAAGAUGGAAUAGGAACUUGCUCUGUGCACUCCACACACGGACCUAGUGUUGCAGUACUUCCAGGAAAAGUACACCCCCU